UUGUUAUAGCAAAAUUUAUUAUGCAGUCCGUCGCUUUUAUUUCUUUGCCAUCACAAGAUCGUACAAAGCUUAUUUUUUCUUACAAUAAAAGAUCAUACAUAUUUAGAAGCAAUUUUUAUUGCUUGAUGCACCGAUGAAAACUUACUUGAAAGACCUUACUCAAUCCAUGGGUAGGUAUGAUGGACUCUCAUGACAAGAAAAUGAGUUUCACGGUUAUGGAUGCACAAGUAGUAUCUCUACUUAGUGCGGAAUUUCUUUCGGCUAGAAAAAGAUUUAAAGCAAACACCACAUGUUAAAGGAUUCAAAACCAUAUAACUUCUAUGUGAAUGUAAACUAUCAUAAUCAUUAUGUUGUUUUCAUUUCCAACAUCAACACUUGAUCAUGAGUGGGUGGCAGGUGGAGCUGGUCGUCUGCGAGCACCACGUCGACAGCGUCUCCUUCUCAAGCGGACAACAGCGUCGGGCGUCACACGAUCUCACCGAGGAGCGUUCCUGCCACCAAAUUGAGGCGCCACUAAGGGAAGGAAAGUCGACGGGAGGCUAUGGGAAAUAUUUGCGGUGCUCUGCUCUACUCACCGAAGAGAAUUUAGCCGGGACCUGAGGCGGACGGAGUCGGGGAAGAAGACCUCCCCAAGGUUCUUCUCUCGCUUGGG
Molecule: long non-coding RNA, 652 nt
Filed under: Hordeum vulgare
Lineage: Eukaryota; Viridiplantae; Streptophyta; Magnoliopsida; Poales; Poaceae
Description: long non-coding RNA (HVUL_LNC013873)
Source: RNAcentral